CCAUUUUACAGAACAAGAAAUGAGCUCAGCGACAUCAAGAAACUUCCUCAUGCUUACCAAGCUGGCAAUGCAGACAGAUGCACAAAACUGACUUCACCGGCAGCCUUCUCUCAGAGGGAGUGGCCUGGAUAUACGUACUUCUCACUGCCUGUCCCAGGCUAGAAGUCCCACCGUAGAGGCCACAUCCCAUGGAAAAGCAUGGAAAAAACAUAUCAUCCUAUAUCACCCCAGGGAGGUGCCACUGAGCACACAGUCUCCUCAGCAUUUGAGGUCAGAAAACACUGGUCACAUUAAAGUAGCCAAGCACUGUCAACAGCAAAGGUGAACGCUGAAAGAAUUUAGAGAAGUCUUCUAAGGCUGAGGUCCAGCAGAGAGAGGGACACCAGGGAGGUGUUUCAUCACGUAGCUAUUUACUAGGAGCUGAGACUAAACCGGCAUGGAGGAGGAGGAAAAGGACAAAGGCCAUAGCUGGGGAAGAAACAGCCAGCCUACUUGCCCAGGCUACAGGAGGGGCUGCUUACUACUGUUCCAGUGUCAUCAUCUGCACCUGAAAUGUUCGCUUCUGGCAUUUUGUGGGCAAUAAAUACAAAGUGAAUGCUGCUGACUAAUGAACAAGCUAAGAUACUCUUUGAAUGGGCACACACACACACACACACACA
This is a long non-coding RNA of Fukomys damarensis (Damara mole-rat), 659 nucleotides long. RefSeq lists it as uncharacterized. The transcript is spliced from 4 exons. Lineage: Eukaryota; Metazoa; Chordata; Mammalia; Rodentia; Bathyergidae. The record is from RefSeq and is a predicted model, not a curated record.